CCUACGGGAGGCAGCAGUGGGGAAUAUUGGGCAAUGGAGGAAACUCUGACCCAGCAACGCCGCGUGAAUGAUGAAGGUCUUCGGAUUGUAAAGUUCUUUUCUAAGGGAAGAAGAAAGUGACGGUACCUUAGGAAUAAGCCUCGGCUAACUACGUGCCAGCAGCCGCGGUAAGACGUAGGAGGCGAGCGUUAUCCGGAAUGACUGGGCGUAAGGGGUGCGUAGGUGGUUUGACAAGUUGGUAGCGUAACUCCGGGGCUCAACCUCGGCACUACUACCAAAACUGCCGGACUUGAGUGCAGGAGGGGCAAAUGGAAUUCCUAGUGUAGCGGUGGAAUGCUUAGAUAUUAGGAGGAACACCAGUGGCGAAGGCGAUUUGCUGCACUGUAACUGACACUGAGGCACGAAAGCGUGGGGAGCAAACAGGAUUAGAUACCCUAGUAGUC
RNAcentral lists this ribosomal RNA (443 nucleotides) under uncultured bacterium. RNAcentral describes it as "partial 16S ribosomal RNA". It matches the Rfam family "Bacterial small subunit ribosomal RNA", at positions 338 to 795 of the family's 1533-position model. The record is from RNAcentral.